UUUGCGCGCUAAAUGGAAAAACCGGAGGACCCGGAGAAAAACCACGAGGUUGGACAAAUGACCCUACUCCUUGUCACGUACAUGUGUGGGAUGGAAACAACGCCACUUGACUCAACGACAGACCUUAUGAUCUAAAGUGCACGGAUGAAGAAGACUAAUAAUGUAAAAUGAAAACCAAAAACCAAGCCAAGAUUGACUUCCUGAUGUUAAUACAGACCGAACUCAUUUUUAAGAAACGUAAUACCAUACAUAACGAAAAACAGGCACUUACUGGAAUAGGUUCCACAAAUAUUUACAAUUUUACCGCUCAAAACAAUAAAUACCUGUCGACGUUUAAGAGCAGAUGUUAUGUUAUAAGAGAGUGUAUAUAUCAAUGAACAGCACAAGUGUUGCCAGGCGGCAAAAGAUUUAUUUCAAGACCACUAAUCAUUGAUAAAAUAAAAUAAAAUAAAAUCAA
Molecule: long non-coding RNA, 457 nt
Organism: Patella vulgata (common limpet)
Lineage: Eukaryota; Metazoa; Mollusca; Gastropoda; Patellidae
Exons: 2
Source: RefSeq, a predicted model, not a curated record